UAAAGUAGUACCUGUUCACUUUCUUUCUUUUCACAUCCCCAAGCCUCAAUUGUUGAGCCGCGGCGGCGUUUCGCUCUCAUCACUUCUUUCUGCUUCCGAAUCAAAAUCCCUCUCUUUAGCUUCUCAAUCUUCAACAUCUUUUUCCGAAUCUUUAACUUCCCAAUCCGAUUCUAAUCUGUCGUUCGGAUUCUAUUUAUGUUUUUAGUAUCGAAAUUGGUAUGUUAUAGAUCUCAACUGGAUUUGAGUUUUGAUGUUAUCUACGUGAUAUUGUGCCUUGCAUACUAUGUUUUGGAUUAUCUGGACACUUGUAUAUAAUCGCUUUUGCAGGUAAUAAUAAAGAGAGACAUCCCAGUUAAUCUCUUAAUCUCUUGGCAAGCACACCGAAUAUGUAAGAACACAAAAGUUUCGGGUCAUUUCGGGUCGUGUCGGGUAACCCGAAAUAAAUCCGAGUCGUGUUCGAGUUAGGUACCUGUACCCAUAAAAUUUUCGGGCCAGGUUCGGGUUGGGUAAAAAAUACUACCCGAGAAUGUUGACCUGACACGAACCCGACCAACAACCCGUAAUUGCCAGCCCUAGACACCAAUAGCAUAUUCAAUUUGAGUCGAUGUAUGCAUCAAGUAAGUACUGUGAGAUCUUAAAUUGUUAUCUUCUUAGUAUUGUAUUUCAUUGUUCAAUGGAUUAGGUUUUCAUGUUAUUUUAUAUUGAUUUCAUAUAUUAAUGUCACAUCUUAAUUCUUGAUUCAUAUUUUUAUCAUUGUAUGUGAUCUAUAUAAUAAAUAUCGGCCGAAUUUUAGCAAUAUAUUCACAAUUACAUGAUAUGGAUCAAUCAGGUUACAUGGGCUCAACUAAUUUCAAAAAUUCACAGGUUGGACACCGUUUGCAUAGGCCAAUUUCACUAUCUUCGUCAAAACAUGGUUUGGUAACUGUUUUUCUCAUUUUCAGGUUGAUGAGUGAUGGAUAUCAGUCUUCAUUUGUUGAGCCACCGUUCGCUGCCGACCGAAGGAUUAAUUCAUUUUCAGUGUUUGAAAGAUGCAUCAACUGUUAAAUAUCGUUAAAAUUUUAUACAUUUUAAUGCUUUCACCCAAUUGAAGCGUUGUUCCAAUAAAUUGCAAUUGCUUAACACUUUUCUUUUUUCCUUUUCGUAGAAUUCUCUCUUAACAUUCGGAUCGUAUUGCUUCGCGAGUUUUGUUAUAAUAAUCCUAAUAGUGUUCAUUGGUGAUGUGA
Long non-coding RNA from Daucus carota subsp. sativus, 1223 nucleotides. RefSeq lists it as uncharacterized. Lineage: Eukaryota; Viridiplantae; Streptophyta; Magnoliopsida; Apiales; Apiaceae. The transcript is spliced from 2 exons. The record is from RefSeq and is a predicted model, not a curated record.